AUUACUUCUUGGCCUUUUGGCUAAGAUCAAGUGUAGUAUAGUGCACCAAAUAUAGGGCUGAUACCACUUAUACUCAAUAAGUUUAAACUAUUAAAAGUUAAAGAUAUUAUAAUAAGCCACUGCUUAUUCCCCAGAUGUCUCCUGCCAUUGUCCUCAGUCCAAGUGCUCAAGGAAAGAUGGCUGGAUAG
Small nuclear RNA from Choloepus didactylus (southern two-toed sloth), 188 nucleotides. RefSeq annotates it as U2 spliceosomal RNA. The record is from RefSeq and is a predicted model, not a curated record. The transcript has a single exon. Lineage: Eukaryota; Metazoa; Chordata; Mammalia; Pilosa; Megalonychidae.